Zonotrichia albicollis (white-throated sparrow) is the source of this 1580-nucleotide long non-coding RNA. The record is from Ensembl. Lineage: Eukaryota; Metazoa; Chordata; Aves; Passeriformes; Passerellidae.
CCCUGGCAGCUGGACCUGGCGGAGCUGCAGAAGGAGCUGCAGAAGAGCCGCAGCGUGUUCCCUGAGAACCCCUCGGUGUGGGUGAAGGACCUGGCUGGGUACCUCAACUACAAACUGCAAGCACCCAGGAGUGACCCCGUGCUGAGCCAGCACCCUCACGACUACCCGUACUGCCUGGUGGGCAAGGAGCUCAGGGGCAUCAUCCGCUCCCUGCUGGCCAAGGCCUCCGACGUCCUGGAGCUCUUCUUUGACCACUGCAUCUACACCAUGCUGCAGGAGCUGGACAAGGCCCAAGGGGAGUCCCUGCACGGGUACAGGAUCUGCAUCCAGGCCCUGCUGCUGUACCGGCCCCGCAUCGCCACCACCAACCUGGGCAAGGUGAGCUGGCCUGGGCUGGGUUUGCCUGNUGUCACUGCCGUGUCUGGGAGGAUCCCCAAGGAAGCCUCUGAUGGCUGAACCUCCUCCCUGUAGCACUGGUGGGGCCCUGGGAGUCGCUGGCGCAGUUCUGUGCCCUGGCUGGCUCUGCAGAACCUGUCUGUCUGUCCUGCCUGUCUGUGUCUGUCCUGCCUGUCCUGGUCGUGUCUGGGCACGGAGGGUUCCAGAACUGGCCGAGGCAGGCUGGGUUGGGGUGAUGUGUCCCUGGGCUGGCAGGCAUUGCUGGCUCAGCUCCUCCACAUCCCCCUCGUGCCCUGGGACCUCCACUGCCCCCAAAUGAGGGGGUUCCCUCUGCAUGCCCCUGCCCUGGGUGGGGUUCUCUGCAUGGUUCCAGUAUCCCUGCACACCCAGUUUUGCCCACAGUGACAGGACUGUGUGGCAUUCCCGUCCUUCCUGGGGAGGCAGGGCAGCCAGAGCUGUCCCUGUGCUCAGGGGUCAGCCACUGUCACCUCACUGAGGGGGGUUUGGGACAGAUGUCAUUCCCUGUGUGGCACCAGCUGGUUUGUGUGGAGUUCCUCUCACCAGGUGAGGUGCCCAGGGUACCUGGCUCAGUGAGGCAGUGGGAAACCAAUCUCACAGCUCUGAGCCUUGCAGCAAGCCCUGCUGGAGCAGCCCCACGGAGCAGCAGGUGUCAAAGCAGGGAUGGACAUGCCUGGGUAGCAGUGCAGUACAGGUGGGAGCUGCUGCUGCCCAGUUUGGUGCUGAGGGCUGUUCUCCAGGUGGGCUUGGCUGCUCAGGGCAGGGAUGGACAUGCCUGGGUGGCAGUGCAGGAGGGGUGGGAGCUGCUGCUGCCCGGUUUGGUGCUGAGGGCUGUUCACCAGAUGGGUUUGGCUGCUCAGGGCAGGGAUGGACAUGCCUGGGUGGCAGUGCAGUACAGGUGGGAGCUGCUGUUGCUGCCUGGUGUGGUGCUGAGGGCUGUUCAUUGGGUGGGUUUGGCUGCUCAGGGCUGUGUCCUCCCUCGCUGGGGGCUCUGGGUGUGCAGAGUGGAGCAGCCCCGGCUGGGAUCAGCCCAGGUCUGUGCUGGCCAUGGUUUGGGUGAUGGGCUCCCUGGGCAGGGCCAGCUGCCCCAGGCCAUGCAGCUCCAGGGUGUUCCAUGUGGGCUGGGAUGGAGCUGGAAGCAUUGCCCUCCAUGCCCCUUGGGACCC